Molecule: ribosomal RNA, 172 nt
Filed under: uncultured bacterium
Lineage: Bacteria
Description: partial 16S ribosomal RNA
Rfam family: Bacterial small subunit ribosomal RNA
Source: RNAcentral
UCUACGGGAGGCAGCAGUGGGGAAUAUUGGGCAAUGGGGGAAACCCUGACCCAGCAACGCCGCGUGAAGGAAGAAGGCCUUCGGGUUGUAAACUUCUUUUACCAGGGACGAAGAACGUGACGGUACCUGGAGAAAAAGCAACGGCUAAUUACGUGCCAGCAGCCGCGGUAAU